GCCCCUGUGGUGAAAAGGAUAUCACACAGGCCUCCGAAGCCUGGAGUCCGCGUUCGAUUCGCGGCGGGGGCA
This 72-nucleotide transfer RNA is filed under the name Deltaproteobacteria bacterium. Its description in RNAcentral is "tRNA-Arg". It matches the Rfam family "tRNA". From Rfam's summary of the family: Transfer RNA (tRNA) molecules are approximately 80 nucleotides in length. Their secondary structure includes four short double-helical elements and three loops (D, anti-codon, and T loops). Further hydrogen bonds mediate the characteristic L-shaped molecular structure. tRNAs have two regions of fundamental functional importance: the anti-codon, which is responsible for specific mRNA codon recognition, and the 3' end, to which the tRNAs corresponding amino acid is attached (by aminoacyl-tRNA synthetases). tRNAs cope with the degeneracy of the genetic code in two manners: having more than one tRNA (with a specific anti-codon) for a particular amino acid; and 'wobble' base-pairing, i.e. permitting non-standard base-pairing at the 3rd anti-codon position. Lineage: Bacteria; Pseudomonadati; Myxococcota; Myxococcia. The record is from RNAcentral.